Acanthosepion pharaonis is the source of this 103-nucleotide non-coding RNA. NCBI's taxonomy places the organism in Eukaryota, Metazoa, Mollusca, Cephalopoda, Sepiida, Sepiidae. The record is from the annotation of a GenBank genome assembly.
AUAUCAUGCUGUAACACCGGUUCUCAUACGAUCACCAAAGUUAAGCAAUGUCGAGCCUGGUCAGUAUCUAGAUAGGUGACUGCUAGAGAAUACUAGUACUGUA